RNAcentral lists this ribosomal RNA (253 nucleotides) under uncultured bacterium. Its description in RNAcentral is "partial 16S ribosomal RNA". It matches the Rfam family "Bacterial small subunit ribosomal RNA", at positions 524 to 776 of the family's 1533-position model. The record is from RNAcentral.
UACGUAGGGCGCAAGCGUUGUCCGGAAUUAUUGGGCGUAAAGAGCUCGUAGGCGGUUUGUCACGUCGGCUGUGAAAUCCCGAGGCUUAACCUCGGGCUUGCAGUCGAUACGGGCAGACUAGAGUGGAGCAGGGGAGACUGGAAUUCCUGGUGUAGCGGUGAAAUGCGCAGAUAUCAGGAGGAACACCGAUGGCGAAGGCAGGUCUCUGGGCUUUAACUGACGCUGAGGAGCGAAAGCGUGGGUAGCGAACAGG